This 698-nucleotide ribosomal RNA is filed under the name uncultured beta proteobacterium. Its description in RNAcentral is "bacterial SSU rRNA". The stretch from base 12 to 530 matches the Rfam family "Bacterial small subunit ribosomal RNA", at positions 39 to 536 of the family's 1533-position model. The record is from RNAcentral. Lineage: Bacteria; Pseudomonadati; Pseudomonadota; Betaproteobacteria.
AUAGCCCUGGCGCGAAUUGUUAUCACACUGCAAGUUAACGGCAGCACGGACUUCGGUCUGGUGGCUGACGUGGCGCAACGGGUGAGUAAUACAUCGGAACGUGCCCAGUCGCUGGGGGAUAACGUAGCGAAAGCUACGCUAACUACCGCAUACGAUCUAAGGAUGACAAGCGGGGGAUCGCAAGACCUCGCGCGAUUGGAGCGGCCGAUGGCAGAUUAGGUAGUUGGUAGGGUAAAGGCCUACCAAGCCGACGAUCUGUAGCAUGGAUCUGAGAAGGACGACCAGCCACACAUGGGACUGAGACACGGCCCAGACUCCUACGGGAGGACAGCAGUGGGGAAUUAUUGGACCCAUGGGCGAAAGCCUGAUCCAGCCAUUCCGCGUGCAGGAUGAAGGACCUCGGGUUGUAAACUGCAUUCUGUACGGAACGAAAAGGUCCUGGUUAAUACCUGGGGCUCAUGACGGUACCGUAAGAAUAAGCACCGGCUAACAUACGUGCCAGCAGGCCCAGCGGUAAUACGUAGGGUGCAAAGCGGUUAAUCCGGAAUUACUGGGCCGUAAACGCGUGCGCAGGCGCGGUGAUUGUAAGGACACAGCACGGUGAAACUCCCCCGGGACUCAACCCUUGCCGAACUGGCCUUUUGUGAACUGCAUCGACUGGAAGUACCAGGACAGCAACGGGGCAUGGGAAAUUACCC